Molecule: long non-coding RNA, 663 nt
Organism: Salvia miltiorrhiza (redroot sage)
Lineage: Eukaryota; Viridiplantae; Streptophyta; Magnoliopsida; Lamiales; Lamiaceae
Exons: 3
Source: RefSeq, a predicted model, not a curated record
UCUCUCUAUCAAAGAUUUUCUCUAGCUAACUAAAAAUUCUCUCUCUAAGCUUAUAAGUUCAAUUAUCCAAACACUUUGACCAAUUAUAAGCCCUUCAAAAUAAGCUUAGUCAAACACCCUCUACAAUAACUCCUUUCUAAAUUCACUCAUCGCGAUUUUGCCCCUGGUCUUCGAAUUAAAAAAUCAAAUAACUCGAAUUGGCAGCUCACUUUUUCAAUUUCAAAAGAAUUGGCGACGACGAACUCGCGGCGCAUCCUUGAGCAUGGGUUCAAUUGAGCUGGGGGGAUUCGCAUAAGCACUGGCUAGAGCUUCACCGGAGCUAAUCGCGGUACUGCCCGGUAGAAUAUCGCAGCCUACCAAAAAGGUCGCCAAUGAAAGAAGAAAGAGUAAUUUGUAUUGGAAUUUAAUUCCCCCCGGUCUGCUUAUUGCGCAGGAAUUGAGCAGGGUAAGGACACGGCUGUCAUUACAAAAAAUUAAAAAGGUAGUUUUGUCAUUUCCUGCUUUUGUCUAAGCCAUGCUUACCAAACACGCUGCUAAUUGUUUCAUGCGUAUUAACUUAUAUCUGGAUAUGUAGAUAUGUAGAUAUGUAGAUAUUAAUUAUAUCUGGAUAUUUAAUCCAAUUGUUGUGAGUUUAAUUAACUAAAUUUAUUGUUUGAUAGCUGA